This 64-nucleotide transfer RNA is filed under the name Bacillus atticus. RNAcentral's name for it is "tRNA-Tyr". Lineage: Eukaryota; Metazoa; Arthropoda; Insecta; Phasmatodea; Bacillidae. The record is from RNAcentral.
AGUAAAGUGGCUGAAUUAUAGGCAAUAAAUUGUAAAUUUAUUUAUGAGUAAUACUCCUUUAUUA